AUUGAGCGCUGGCGGCAGGCUUAACACAUGCAAGUCGAGCGGGGUGAUGGUGCUUGCACUAUCACUUAGCGGCGGACGGGUGAGUAAUGCUUAGGAAUCUGCCUAUUAGUGGGGGACAACAUCUCGAAAGGGAUGCUAAUACCGCAUACGUCCUACGGGAGAAAGCAGGGGAUCACUUGUGACCUUGCGCUAAUAGAUGAGCCUAAGUCGGAUUAGCUAAUUGGUGGGGUAAAGGCCUACCAAGGCGACGAUCUGUAGCGGGUCUGAGAGGAUGAUCCGCCACACUGGGACUGAGACACGGCCCAGACUCCUACGGGAGGCAGCAGUGGGGAAUAUUGGACAAUGGGGGGAACCCUGAUCCAGCCAUGCCGCGUGUGUGAAGAAGGCCUUAUGGUUGUAAAGCACUUUAAGCGAGGAGGAGGCUCUUUUGGUUAAUACCCAAGAUGAGUGGACGUUACUCGCAGAAUAAGCACCGGCUAACUCUGUGCCAGCCGCCGCUGUAA
Molecule: ribosomal RNA, 503 nt
Filed under: uncultured bacterium
Lineage: Bacteria
Description: partial 16S ribosomal RNA
Rfam family: Bacterial small subunit ribosomal RNA
Source: RNAcentral